UACGUAGGGGGCGAGCGUUGUCCGGAAUCAUUGGGCGUAAAGCGCGUGUAGGCGGCUCGAUCAGUCUGGUGUGAAAUCUUGGGGCUCAACCCCAAGCCUGCACUGGAUACUGUCGAGCUUGAGUCCGGGAGGGGAGAGCGGAAUUCCUAGUGUAGCGGUGAAAUGCGCAGAUAUUAGGAAGAACACCGGUGGCGAAGGCGGCUCUCUGGAACGGUACUGACGCUGAGACGCGAAAGCGUGGGGAGCGAACAGG
This 253-nucleotide unclassified non-coding RNA is filed under the name uncultured Gaiellales bacterium. RNAcentral's name for it is "contains 16S-23S intergenic spacer region". It matches the Rfam family "Bacterial small subunit ribosomal RNA", at positions 524 to 776 of the family's 1533-position model. Lineage: Bacteria; Bacillati; Actinomycetota; Thermoleophilia; Gaiellales. The record is from RNAcentral.